GUCAGGCGCGGUGGCGCGUGCCUGUGGUCCCAGAUACUCGGGAGGCUGAGGCGGGAGGACUGCUUGAGCCCAGGAGUUCGGGCGGCAGUGCGCUAUGCCGUUCGGGAGUCCGCACUAAGUUCGGCAUCACUAUGGUGACCUCCGGGAGCCGCCAGGUUGCCUAAGGAGGGGUGAACUGGCCCAGGUCAGAAAUGGAGCAGGUCAAAACUCCCGUGCUGAUCAGUAGUGGGAUUGUGUCGAUGAAAAGCCACCGCACUCCAGCCUGGGCAACAUAGCGAGACCCCGUCUCA
Molecule: signal recognition particle RNA, 290 nt
Filed under: Saimiri boliviensis boliviensis (Bolivian squirrel monkey)
Lineage: Eukaryota; Metazoa; Chordata; Mammalia; Primates; Cebidae
Description: Metazoan signal recognition particle RNA (ENSSBOG00000005468.1)
Rfam family: Metazoan signal recognition particle RNA
About the family: The signal recognition particle (SRP) is a universally conserved ribonucleoprotein. It is involved in the co-translational targeting of proteins to membranes. The eukaryotic SRP consists of a 300-nucleotide 7S RNA and six proteins: SRPs 72, 68, 54, 19, 14, and 9.
Source: RNAcentral